CGCUAAGCAUAGAGUAUAAGAACCAGUAAUGAACACCGCUCUAUGAAUGAAUAAGACUGGAUAAACUACACAAUACCAAUGCCUGUAUCCCAUUGAACCAAGAAGCAAGGGUUGUAGAGAAAUGGAAAACUCAAUGCUUUGACCCAAAGAGUAAUUGGAGAUUACAAAAUAAUAAGCAGCGAGGAAAAAAAUCAGUACAGGUAGCCCAGUGUUGUAGGAAAGCGUGAUAUUCCAAUUGCUUCAUACCACAAAAUGUUAAUUGUCAAUCGACAAAACAAGAACUUAGGGUAGAUAUCCAGCGAAAUCUAUAUUAGAACAAAAUAAACUAACUCAACUAAGUCUUGCGUCUCCAUCGACUGGAUUUGACAACAUGAAUCUUUAUGCCAUUCUGUUCCG
Long non-coding RNA from Rhododendron vialii, 396 nucleotides. RefSeq lists it as uncharacterized. The record is from RefSeq and is a predicted model, not a curated record. Lineage: Eukaryota; Viridiplantae; Streptophyta; Magnoliopsida; Ericales; Ericaceae. The transcript has 2 exons.